Molecule: ribosomal RNA, 502 nt
Filed under: uncultured bacterium
Lineage: Bacteria
Description: bacterial SSU rRNA
Rfam family: Bacterial small subunit ribosomal RNA
Source: RNAcentral
CAGAACGAACGCUGGCGGCGCGUUUAAGCAUGCAAGUCGAGCGGCAAGGGCCUUCGGGCCCUAGAGCGGCGGACGGGUGAGUAACACGUGGACAAUCUGCCCCCCGGCCCGGGAUAGCCCAGGGAAACCUGGAUUAAUACCGGAUGAGACGGGACCCGCGAUGGCGGGAUCCGGGAAAGGCGCUGCGGCGCCGCCGGGGGAUGAGUCUGCGUCCCAUUAGCUAGACGGCGGGGUAACGGCCCACCGUGGCGACGAUGGGUAGCCGGCCUGAGAGGGUGGACGGCCACAUUGGAACUGAGACACGGUCCAGACUCCUACGGGAGGCAGCAGCUAAGAAUCUUCCGCAAUGGGCGAAAGCCUGACGGAGCCGACGCCGCGUGAACGAAGAAGGCCGCGAGGUUGUAAAGUUCUUUUCGGGAGGGGGAACAACCGUGGCAGGGAAUGGCCGCGGGAUGACGUGAAUCCCGGAAUAAGCCCCGGCUAACUACGUGCCAGCCGCUGC